UAUCUGGCAUCCCAGGUAUUUCCCUGUCUCAUGCUGAUUGGUGGCUGCUAGGGGGCUGCUAUGGAUCCCCACCUAGCCUGACUGAGUCAGGGACACCUGGCGCAGCAGAUCUCUCCUGUUAUUUGUAGAUAAACAACUUAGCAGGGUGGGAAUGUGCCUAGGAGUGCUCUGUGGGUUUUUCCAAGGACAAAGGCCAUGUCCCUUCCUUGGACAGCUUUGCUCUGAGAUAGAGGCUGGUUUUUCAAAACCAGUAUUCUAGAAUUAAGAGGAAAUAUAGACAUUCUUCCUGGAGCUUUCUCAGUUUACCUUCCCUCCAAUCCUAGAAUGUAGAUUUCCCCUGGGUUUUAAUUUUUUAAGCCUUAUGUGGUUAUCAAGUAGUAGGGUUUCAAAAAUCAAACUGAAGAAGUCAGUCUGACUGAAAGGAGCCUUAGAACUGCGAAGUAGGGGAGUUGACAGCUCCCAUGGGGUCUAGCCUGCUUUAGUAUGACUCUCACCGAAACUUAUGACCAAAGCUAU
RNAcentral lists this long non-coding RNA (516 nucleotides) under Marmota monax (woodchuck). Lineage: Eukaryota; Metazoa; Chordata; Mammalia; Rodentia; Sciuridae. The record is from RNAcentral.